GCUGUAGUGGUCUAUCGGGAAGAAUGUGGGAUUUAGUUCCGUAGGUCGCAGGUUCGAUUCCUGCGUCGGCC
Sistotremastrum niveocremeum HHB9708 is the source of this 71-nucleotide non-coding RNA. NCBI's taxonomy places the organism in Eukaryota, Fungi, Basidiomycota, Agaricomycetes, Sistotremastrales, Sistotremastraceae. The record is from the annotation of a GenBank genome assembly.